Molecule: long non-coding RNA, 2984 nt
Organism: Mercenaria mercenaria
Lineage: Eukaryota; Metazoa; Mollusca; Bivalvia; Venerida; Veneridae
Exons: 2
Source: RefSeq, a predicted model, not a curated record
UUCGGGUCGCAUCCCUCCCAUCGUCAUUUCGUACUUGGGCACUUAUAGCCGGAGCAACGAUUUACGGAACCUUGGGAUCGGGAGAAUCAGGUUUUUGCUAGUACUAGUGCAAGAAACAUAGCCUAGAAGUUAAAUGUGAUGGGAACAUUAAUCGUUUGGAAAGAACAGAAAUGUGACUAUUAAAAAUAGAAGGAGUUACCAAAUUGCUGAAUAAUAAAAGCCAAAGAUUUACUUCCCAAAUGUUCAGGGGUUCUGUUCAUGCUAUUGUUAUUGUGUGCAUUUGAGAACGUCGAGAGUAUAGUGCCGUCUAAUAUUCCCCUGGCUAGGAAUGGUCUGAUCAGAAAUGAACUGAUUAAAAUCUAUUUUGCCGAAGGACGAAAGUAUUCGGAAAUAGUUGUUUUUAUUCUGUAAACACAACAUUAAAAUAAGCAAACGUCAUUUGAAACGAAUCAUGCGGGAAUUGUGUUUACGGAGACAUCCUCAGCCCUACUCAUCUGCAGAAGAUAUGAUGAAUGGAAUAAAGCGCGAGUGGAGUGUAAGAGGGCAGUGUUUAAGGUAUAGAACUAUGUGGAAAAGACUGAUAAGAGAGAAAUCAAGAGAAACGACGUCAUGAAAUUCAUGAAACAGCUUUGUCCAGAUGUAACAGAAGAACGAAAAGUACAUAGGUUGAAGAGAAAAGUGUAUACAUUGAAAGGACCUAAUUAUGUGUGGCAUGUAGAUGGAUACGAUAAAUUAAAGCUGUAUGGAUUCUGUAUUCAUGGAUGCAUUGACGAUUACAGUCGUAGUAUCAUGUGGCUUGAAGUUGCCAAGUUCUACAUGGACUAUUUUAAUCAUGUUCAGUGUGCUCCACGAAUUUUACGAGCAGAUAUGGGGACCAAAAACAGUUCCCUGAGCUUUUUGAGAUACGAUUCAAACGACUCUUUGGCUUGCACUAAAAGAUUUUACUUGUGCGGAAAAGUACAGCAAACCAUAUAGGAUAGAGCAUUUUGUGGGAUACUUCGUAAGCUCGGUAUUCACUGGUGGAUGAAUUUAUUCAAGGAUAAUAGGGAUUGCGGAAUAUUUUACAUCGAUAAACCAGUGAUAAAAGAAUGCUUAAGAUUUUGUUUAUGGACGCGUUGCAAACGGACUUAGACAGAACUGGACAGCACUGGAAUUCUCACAGUAUACGACCACAAAAUUCGAUGUGUUGUAUUUUGUCUCUGAACUGACUGAUGCCCAGUACUUUGGGACUAAAGUGAAAAGGGAGGAUGUGAAUGCGUGCAUCGGUCAUUUUUAUGCCCCCGCCAUAGGGAGCAUAUAGUGUUAUCCCUGUCCGUGUGUGUGUGUUCUUUUGUGUGUCUGUUUGUUUGUUUGUGUGUUUGGGAAAGGAUGGUGUUCUAAUCCGGAUCAUAACUUUGACAUGCAUGGUUCGAUUUCAUAAUAAUUUCACGCAAAUAAUAAGCAUGGAUAGACAAUGUGUCAGGCAAAAAAACCGUUUUACUAGCUCAAGGUCAAGGUCACAGUCCUUGGUUGAACUUAGCCAAUUUUCACUACAUAUAUACUGAUGAGGUGGUCUUUGUGUCCGGUGCAUAACUUUGACAUGCUUGAUCCGAUUUCAAAAUAAUCUAACAAAAAUAAUAAGCAUGGAUAGACAAUGUGUCAUGUUUAAAACCAAAUCCCUAGUUUUAAGGUCAAGGUCACACUUAGGGGCCAAAGUUCACAUACAAGAAAGACUUCGUCUUGAGCAUUUAUUCUUCAUCUUCAUGCAUGGAGGGAUUUUGAUGUAAGUUGGCUCAAUUGUACACCAUCACGAGACAGAAUAUCAUGCGCAAGAACCAGGUCCCUAGUUUAAAUUUACUUCCAUUGCUGUUACUAUAAAUAGCUUAUAUUGUAACUUUUAUUACUGGUCGUAGGGAAAAAUCAAGACCACUUUUCUUUAGUACAACAUGCAUGUUACAUCCAAUUUUGAGAUGUAUUUUGAUCUCUACCUGGUAAGGAUUUUUGUGUGGAUUAUUUUUAUAUUUUUUAAUUUUGUUUUUAAGAUUAACUUCCCUUAGUUGUUACUAUAAAUAACUUAUAUUGUAACUACUUUAUAAUUGACCGUAGGGAAAACCAAGACCACUUUUCUGUGGUACAACAUAGAUUUUACUUCAAAUUUUAGGUGUAUUGUAAUGUAUCUUUACCUGAUAAGGAGGUUUUUUUGUGGACUUAGAAUUUUAACAAAAGAAUUACAAUAAUUACUACACAACCACAGAAUUAAAAUUCCGUUUGCAAAUACAGGUGCUAGUGUAUAUUUGCUAUGACGGGCGUAUAUUGUGACAUGCUGACACUCUUGUUGUAAAUAAAUACGGUCAAGGGUCCUUCUUUUUGUUUGUGAGCAGUACCAUGCCUGUGACCUUUUUCAUCCGUGUCUGUGACACAUUUUUAGUUUUGAAUACGGAAGCAUUUUUGCAGUAGAGAAUUUAGAGACCUUGUAAAAACUAUAAAACCAAGUGUACAAUUCUAUGUUUAUCCAUUUGAUGCCUUAAAAAUUUUCACCGAGCUGAAUAGUCCUUUGGAAGAAUACAUAUAGGGAAAAUAAAAAUAAGUUGCAUAGCUAUAUUUGAACUGGAAUUCUUUUAAACCAAACUUAAUAUGUCCUUUAAGUGUCAUUUUAAUAUAUGUCACCCUCCUACACAUUUUAUUUGAACUGUGUUGUGGACUUAUUUGUUUGUUCAAUUAAAUCCAUGUUCCCUGACUAUAAAUGAAAUUGAUUGGAUUAACAUACUGAUACCUUCUAUAUUUUUAGCCUUUCCAGUGUUGUAACCAUGGACUUUUUAUAAGUACAUAUAAGUAAAAUGUAUAACAAUAACUUUACAUUACUAAUUCUGGGGUUUUAAACUUACAUAUACUUGAAACGAAACUUGAUAUGGUUUAGAUCAUGUUGUCGUGCGUGGCUGAUUGUGUUAUUUUCUCCCCGUGCUUACUAGAAUUAUUGUAUACAGAAAUAAAAAGUAGUCACCUUA